UAUUAUUUGACGUGUAAAAUUAAAUACCUGAGUAGUAAUAGUUAUGGUCUUGAAACUCAAAGAAUUUGGCGGUGUUUUAGUCCUUUCAGAGGAAUCUGUCCUGUAAUUGAUAGUACACGAUUUUAUUUACUUAAUUUGGUUGAUCAGUUUAUAUACCGCCGUCGUAAGAUUAUCUUGUGGAGAGUUUAAAAUUUCUUUAUCUAUUAUUAUAGAAUAUGUCAGGUCAAGGUGUAGCUAAUGGUUAAGUAGAGAUGGAUUACAAUAAAUAUAUUUAUUAUGGAUAAUUGAUUUUAUUUAAAUUAGAAGGUGGAUUUGAUUGUAAAUUAGUUGAAAUUGAUUUUUUGAUUAUGGCUCUAAAACGUGCACACAUCGCCCGUCGCUCUCGUUUUAAGAUGAG
RNAcentral lists this ribosomal RNA (397 nucleotides) under Itaropsis parviceps. RNAcentral's name for it is "partial 12S ribosomal RNA". The record is from RNAcentral. Lineage: Eukaryota; Metazoa; Arthropoda; Insecta; Orthoptera; Gryllidae.